Molecule: long non-coding RNA, 790 nt
Filed under: Carica papaya (papaya)
Lineage: Eukaryota; Viridiplantae; Streptophyta; Magnoliopsida; Brassicales; Caricaceae
Description: long non-coding RNA (CPAP_LNC005035)
Source: RNAcentral
AGGAUGAGGUUGUGUUGGGUCGGUAGCAUCGGGGGACGCCGAUAUUAGUUGUCGCUACUUAAGAAAAGUAAGUUAAUCGUCGAUGGUGGUGAUGGUCGAGAGACUCCGACGAGAAUGGAUUUGGUUGCCGAUAUUGGUGACAGUAAAUGAUGGUAUUUCUAUGUGUGUAAGUGGCCUAUUAAGGGUCGAAAGGUAGGCGGUUUAUUGAUAGUCGCCGAUAUUGAUGACGGAUGUGAAUAUUUGUACGCUUGGGGUGAGGUUGGGGGGUGGUUACACAUGGUAUGUAUGGUAUUUAGGAUACCGGAGUACUUUUUAGUCCUGCGUAGUCCCAUAGUGAUGUGGGUGAUGGGGUACAUAUAGAAAUACUUGAUUUCAUAUUCGAUGCAUAUCAUAAUUGUAACUUAAUUUUUACUGUACUGAGUUAGAUGAACUCACCAUCUGUUGUUCACAAACGAUGUAGGAAUAGAGUCGGGAUCGGAGUUGCUGGUUUCCGAACUUAGCGUAUAGAGCAACAGAAUAAGAAUCUUUAUGGACAUAUUAAAUGUAUAAAAGUUGGUAGUAGAGUUGAUAGUAUGCUUGUUGAUAGUGUAUACGGUUGUAUUUCACGUGAUGUUAUAUGUGUGAUUGCCGAUCUAUCUUAACUCUGAACAAUAGUUUGUGAUGAUGUUUCUAUGUGCAUGUCUAACCUGAAACGAAAUUUUUAUAUUUGAUCAUGGAUCUGUUGUAAACUACGCCAUUAUAAAUAAAUAAAAAAAAUGGGGCAUUACAUAAACAUUAGUGAUUAAAUUCU